GGAAAGAAAGGGAUGAACUUCUAGAGCAGAAAAUAAAUGGUCAAGAAAGUAGCACUAACUGAAAUCUAAAAAAUAUACUGCAUCAAUAAAUUGAACCAUUUGCACAUCUAAUAUCUGGACAAAUAUAUGUACUUACACUCAAUGUAGACACUCAAUAGCCUUACACUACAGGAAUGGAGCCAGACGCCGACGGCCAAGCUCUACGCCGAGGGCUUUUUAUCGGGGCCGUCGGCGUACCUCCUCGCCAGGGCACCACCGGAACACGACCGUCGGCGUACACAUACCGUCGGAGUAGAGGAGGCUACACCGAGGGCGGCCGUCGGCGUCAACUUGGCCCUCGGCGUAGCACCGACAUCGCCCCUGCCCCAGUCCGCGCCGUCACCGCCCGCUCACGGCGUCAGUGUUGACGAGAUUCAUUGUUUCUGAAAUUGUAGCCUGAGUUCGAGGCGGCCUUCGAAGCCUGCAAUGAAGCGUAUCAGCAGGCCGCUGCCCAGUGGAUAGGCAGAAUACGGCCUACGUGGCGUAUAUAGGAGAAAUGAUGAUUUCUAUGUCUACUGGUACACCGCCACCGGCUCGAGUUACCGUGGCGGGGGACAUGCCUAUCAUGCCAUCGAGGGCAGCUUUCGCUGCGACUUACUACGGAUCCACACCGGAGGGAACGGGAUGCUCCGGGAACCAGGCCUCGCCGGGUGGGCGCGAGGUCACACCGGUUCAUGAAGGUGGUCAGUCUGCUGGGCGUUCUGCUGGUGCCUCUCCUUCGACUACUCUUGGGAGUACUCCCGGUGCCUCUCCGUCGACUUCUCCUGGGCGUAGCACCGGUCCUUCUCCAGGUGGUUCUUCUGCAGCUUCUACCAAAGCGCAACCCCGGGCUGUUCGUUUCGCCAACGAUAAGGGCGGACACACCCCGCCCGGAUCCUUCCUUCGCUAGUCGGCAUCGGGCUUCUUGCUUGCCAUCAUGUGCUACCUACUACUAUGUAUUGGAUGACAUGGCACUCUCCUCUUGUAUGCUAUUACAUGCACCAUGUAUGCUACUAUGUGAAUUUCAUGCUA
Non-coding RNA from Lolium perenne, 1050 nucleotides. The record is from RefSeq and is a predicted model, not a curated record. NCBI's taxonomy places the organism in Eukaryota, Viridiplantae, Streptophyta, Magnoliopsida, Poales, Poaceae.